AAAGGGAAUGAAGAGGGAAAAGCCCAAAUUUGUAAUCUGGCUCUUUCAGAGUCCGAGUUGUAAUUUUAAGAACUGUUUUCAGUGCUGGACCAUGUUCAAGUCUGUUGAAAAGCAGCAUCAUAGAAGGUGAUAAUCCUGUUCAUGAUAUGGACUACCAGUGCAAUAUGAUACAGUCUCUAAGAGUCGAGUUGUUUGGGAAUGCAGCUCAAAGUGGGUGGUAAAUUCCAUCUAAGGCUAAAUAUUGAUGAGAGACCGAUAGCAAACAAGUACCGUGAGGGAAAGAUGAAAAGAACUUUGGAAAGAGAGUUAACAGUACGUGAAAUUGUUAAAAGGGAAACAAUUGAAGUUAGACUUGUUAUUAUUAGUUCAAACCUUUUUAAGGGAGUAUUCUAAUGAUUAACAGACCAAUGUCAAUUUUUGAGUGUUGGAUAAGGGUUUAAGGAAAUGUAGCAGUUUCUGACUGUGUUAUAGUCCAUGAGCUUUGAUACAAUGCUUAAGAUUGAGGAAUG
This 509-nucleotide ribosomal RNA is filed under the name Puccinia galiiuniversa. RNAcentral describes it as "partial 28S ribosomal RNA". It matches the Rfam family "Eukaryotic large subunit ribosomal RNA", at positions 86 to 599 of the family's 3401-position model. The record is from RNAcentral. Lineage: Eukaryota; Fungi; Basidiomycota; Pucciniomycetes; Pucciniales; Pucciniaceae.